Molecule: ribosomal RNA, 331 nt
Filed under: Lactococcus garvieae
Lineage: Bacteria; Bacillati; Bacillota; Bacilli; Lactobacillales; Streptococcaceae
Description: bacterial SSU rRNA
Rfam family: Bacterial small subunit ribosomal RNA
Source: RNAcentral
UGAAGAGCGGCGAACGGGUGAGUAACGCGUGGGAAAUCUGCCGAGUAGCGGGGGACAACGUUUGGAAACGAACGCUAAUACCGCAUAACAAUGAGAAUCGCAUGAUUCUUAUUUAAAAGAAGCAAUUGCUUCACUACUUGAUGAUCCCGCGUUGUAUUAGCUAGUUGGUAGUGUAAAGGACUACCAAGGCGAUGAUACAUAGCCGACCUGAGAGGGUGAUCGGCCACACUGGGACUGAGACACGGCCCAGACUCCUACGGGAGGCAGCAGUAGGGAAUCUUCGGCAAUGGGGGCAACCCUGACCGAGCAACGCCGCGUGAGUGAAGAAGGU